UAAAAGGAUGAACUGAGGAAUACCCCUGCUCCCCCUGCUCUCUCACCUGAGAAGAUAGCACUGGAUAUCCCCAGUGGCCUGGCAAAGUUCAUGGGUCUGUGGGAACCUCUGGAUUACUACAUGCUUUUGUAAAAAUAGGAGGUGACACAGGCGAUGGGAGAAUAGAAGGCUGCUGGUCUGCAAGGAGCACUGUUUAGAGGAUGUGUUCUGGGCCAGGACCCAAAUGCACGGCAAGACUUGAUGAGGCAUUGCUAGCAAGUCUAGGAAUGGCUGGGAUGCCCUCUGUGCCAUUCUGGAAGACAGAGGAUUUAUGCCUGGGCCACUUGCAGACAGCUGCCUGAAGCACUGCAGGUCCAGGCAGAAAGUUACACUUUCAAGGAUGCAGACACCAUUUCACUGACAAUUGCUUUGGAAACACAGUCCUCUGUGGUACCUAUUGAAGAAGAAAACAGGCAAGAGACUGCUCUUCAUUAUUUCUGCAUGAGUAAACUGCACACCCAGGAUUUCAGCACUCACUGUGCCUGUAGAAAUGCACAUGAAAAAUACUGUUCCAGGCAAAAUGUAUAUAUGUGGGCCUAGUCCACAGGCAGAACUUACAAUUAAUUUUAGAUUUUACCCUUUUCAGAAGUUCAGCUGUCUAAACAAGGCCAUUAUGUUUUGGCUCCUUGCCCCAGCUAUUUCUGCACAAUUCAUUAAAUCACAAGCAAGGCACACUCUGCCAGGACCUGAGGAGCUGAGAACUGCCCCAGACAGAAAGUGGUGGCUGCAGAGGAAGUGCUGAAGACCUGCUUGCCGUUACCACAGCUGAUUGUGUCCUUAAACCAAAGCAUUUGCAGAGUCUGAUGUCCUCCAAGGUCUCCAGCGCCACAGCUGUGAUGGCCAAGGCUGUUGCUUGUUGGUACUGAGCUGAUGAAAAGCUACCAGACAUUAUUCCUCUGUACAGAUGCACCAGAAGUCAGAUGUGUCUCCACAGGCCCAAAAAAACCCGAGAGUUUUGUGCAGGUGCGUGGCGUGGUAACAGCCACACAUCAGAGACUGGGGCCCUCUUUCUACCACAGCAUGGGGUGUGCUCUAAAUUCAUGGGACACUUGCAGUCCCAGCCAAGAUGAGCCUUUUGAGUGGUAGAUGCAUUUUAGAAAUAUGGGCUUCAAAUUGUUAGUUGUAGCAAACUUAUUACCUGUCGUGGACAGUCCUAAGGGACAGGCAGACCCUUCACUGUCACUGCCCUGAGUACACAGAACACUAACAUGGCAGGAUCAAGCCUGGGUCACACAUGACACUGCCACUGUCACAGUGUCUAAAGCUCUCCCAAGUGGUGGAGCAGGGCUCCCUUGCCCAACCUUGCACUGUGGAGC
Corvus hawaiiensis (hawaiian crow) is the source of this 1355-nucleotide long non-coding RNA. RefSeq lists it as uncharacterized. The transcript has 5 exons. The record is from RefSeq and is a predicted model, not a curated record. Lineage: Eukaryota; Metazoa; Chordata; Aves; Passeriformes; Corvidae.